UGUGUAGGCGGAAAUCUAAGCGUUUUGUGAAAUCCCUCGGCUUAACCGAGGAAUUGCUUGGCGAACUGGAUUUCUUGAGGCAAACAGGGGUGUGUGGAACUCUUGGUGGAGCGGUGGAAUGCGUAGAUAUCAAGAGGAACGCCAAUGGUGAAGACAGCGCACUGGGUUUGUUCUGACGCUGAGACACGAAAGCGUGGGUAGCGAACAGGAUUAGAUACCCUGGUAGUCC
RNAcentral lists this ribosomal RNA (229 nucleotides) under uncultured bacterium. RNAcentral describes it as "partial 16S ribosomal RNA". It matches the Rfam family "Bacterial small subunit ribosomal RNA", at positions 568 to 796 of the family's 1533-position model. The record is from RNAcentral.